RNAcentral lists this ribosomal RNA (497 nucleotides) under uncultured bacterium. Its description in RNAcentral is "partial 16S ribosomal RNA". It matches the Rfam family "Bacterial small subunit ribosomal RNA", at positions 28 to 508 of the family's 1533-position model. The record is from RNAcentral.
GAUGAACGCUGGCGGCGUGCCUAAUACAUGCAAGUCGAGCGAACAGACGAGGAGCUUGCUCCUCUGACGUUAGCGGCGGACGGGUGAGUAACACGUGGAUAACCUACCUAUAAGACUGGGAUAACUUCGGGAAACCGGAGCUAAUACCGGAUAAUAUAUUGAACCGCAUGGUUCAAUAGUGAAAGACGGUUUUGCUGUCACUUAUAGAUGGAUCCGCGCCGCAUUAGCUAGUUGGUAAGGUAACGGCUUACCAAGGCAACGAUGCGUAGCCGACCUGAGAGGGGAGACGCCACAACGGAAACUAAACCCGGCCCAAAACCCCUAGGGGAGGCAGAAGUAGGAAUUCUCCGGAAAGGGGCAAAAGCCGGAAGGAGAAAGGCCGGGGGAGGAAGAAGGUUCUAGGAAUAGAAAAACUUUUUUAUAAGGGAAAAAAAAAGGUGAAAGUAACAAGGCCCGUCUGGAGGUAACAAAAUAAGAAGACCAGGGAAAACACGGGG